UACGUAGGGGGCAAGCGUUGUCCGGAAUCAUUGGGCGUAAAGAGCGUGUAGGCGGCCCGAUAAGUCCGCUGUGAAAGUCCAGGGCUCAACCCUGGAAUGCCGGUGGAUACUGUCGGGCUCGAAUCCGGAAGAGGUGAGUGGAAUUCCCGGUGUAGCGGUGAAAUGCGCAGAUAUCAGGAGGAACACCGGUGGCGAAGGCGGGAUCCUGGGCCAGUACUGACGCUGAGGAGCGAAAGCGUGGGGAGCAAACAGG
This 253-nucleotide ribosomal RNA is filed under the name uncultured bacterium. RNAcentral's name for it is "partial 16S ribosomal RNA". It matches the Rfam family "Bacterial small subunit ribosomal RNA", at positions 524 to 776 of the family's 1533-position model. The record is from RNAcentral.